AGGGCUUCUCUCCAUUGGCAGG
This 22-nucleotide microRNA is filed under the name Cucumis melo (muskmelon). RNAcentral's name for it is "cme-miR399g". Its record names the gene cme-miR399g. Lineage: Eukaryota; Viridiplantae; Streptophyta; Magnoliopsida; Cucurbitales; Cucurbitaceae. The record is from miRBase by way of RNAcentral.